RNAcentral lists this ribosomal RNA (475 nucleotides) under uncultured bacterium. RNAcentral describes it as "bacterial SSU rRNA". It matches the Rfam family "Bacterial small subunit ribosomal RNA", at positions 28 to 526 of the family's 1533-position model. The record is from RNAcentral.
GAUAAACGCUGGCGGCGUGCAUGAGACAUGCAAGUCGAACGAGGACCGGGCUUGCUCGAUCCUAGUGGCGGACGGCUGAGUAACGCGUAGGUGACCUACCCCGAAGUGGGGAAUAACUGCCCGAAAGGGUGGCUAAUACCGCAUGUGGUCGCACGUUCAUUCGUGCGAGUAAAGCCGCAAGGCGCUUCGGGAGGGGCCUGCGUCCGAUUAGCUCGUUGGUGGGGUAAUGGCUUACCAAGGCGACGAUCGGUAGGUGGUCUGAGAGGACGAUCACCCAGACUGGGACUGAGACACGGCCCAGACUCCUACGGGAGGCAGCAGUCGGGAAUUUUGCUCAAUGGGGGAAACCCUGAAGCAGCAACGCCGCGUGAGGGAUGAAGGCCUUCGGGUUGUAAACCUCUUUUGUCAGGGACGAUGAUGACGGUACCUGGCGAAUAAGCCACGGCUAACUACGUGCCAGCCGCCGCCGUAAAAC